AGGUGUUGUUGGAUAAGAUGAUCCAUGCGUCGGAUGGGCAUGUAAAAAGUCGGUCCUGCACCUGCAAUUUCUCGCCAGUCGUUUCGGUCUUCCGCCCCACUGGGUUAUGAGAGUAAAGGAAUAGAGAGUGUUCUUGUGUACUGCGCACACACCUGGGCACUAUAAAA
Long non-coding RNA from Aricia agestis (brown argus), 167 nucleotides. RefSeq lists it as uncharacterized. The record is from RefSeq and is a predicted model, not a curated record. The transcript has 3 exons. NCBI's taxonomy places the organism in Eukaryota, Metazoa, Arthropoda, Insecta, Lepidoptera, Lycaenidae.